RNAcentral lists this long non-coding RNA (420 nucleotides) under Nicotiana benthamiana. RNAcentral's name for it is "long non-coding RNA (NBEN_LNC033491)". The record is from RNAcentral. Lineage: Eukaryota; Viridiplantae; Streptophyta; Magnoliopsida; Solanales; Solanaceae.
GAAAGCUCUUAAAGCUAGGGGUUUUAGAGAACCCAGAAAAGUGAGAAAUAUUUUGAAAGUUACCGAUCUAGCCCGAAAAGCUAUAGAUCUGACUCGAACGGUCAUAGAUGCCCGGAAAAGACCAAAGAUAGAGGUUGACCAAGGACUGGACCAUAUCUCUUUGAGAUCUGUCCCUGAAAUCACGAAAAUAGGUAACCAGUAGAUAUAUGAGACGAGUACAUGUAUUAAAUAGCCAUGUGAGCCCAUGGAUUUGGUGGGGAUUGAAAGGGAUUAGGGUUGAUUUGGGUGGCGGCGGCUAAGGUUUAAAUGAGGUUGCAGAGUGAGUUUGAGAGGAAAGGGAUUCAAGGGUGGCAGGUGGUGAAAAAUUAUUUAAGGUAAGGGGGUCGUUUAGGUUUACUUUAGGCAGGUGGAAUGAUGGCU